CGUAAGACAAGGUGAAGAGUAGACUCUUUCUGGAUAUUAUAAUCAGCCAAAGUCCUUCCAUCCUCCAACUGCUUCCCAGCAAAGAUCAGCCUUUGCUGGUCCGGUGGGAUCCCCUCCUUGUCCUGAAUCUUCGCCUUGACGUUGUCGAUGGUGUCGCUGCUCUCCACCUCCAGCGUAAUAGUCUUUCCGGUUAGGGUCUUCACAAAAAUCUGCAUCCCUCCACGGAGCCUGAGCACAAGAUGAAGGGUCGACUCCUUCUGAAUAUUAUAAUCAGCUAGAGUCCGACCAUCCUCAAGUUGUUUCCCAGCGAAGAUCAAACGUUGUUGGUC
Molecule: long non-coding RNA, 329 nt
Filed under: Populus trichocarpa (black cottonwood)
Lineage: Eukaryota; Viridiplantae; Streptophyta; Magnoliopsida; Malpighiales; Salicaceae
Description: long non-coding RNA (PTRI_LNC002656)
Source: RNAcentral